GCCAGCAGCCAUAUCACCAUGCAACUCACAACUGGCAGCCCACUGAAGCUAAGCAGGUGUGAGCCUGGUCAGUACCUGGAUGGGAGACCUCCUGGGAAAAACUAAGGUUGCUGCUGGAA
Ribosomal RNA from Lepisosteus oculatus (spotted gar), 119 nucleotides. The record is from Ensembl. NCBI's taxonomy places the organism in Eukaryota, Metazoa, Chordata, Actinopteri, Semionotiformes, Lepisosteidae.